RNAcentral lists this small nucleolar RNA (91 nucleotides) under Echinops telfairi (small Madagascar hedgehog). Its description in RNAcentral is "Small nucleolar RNA SNORD111 (ENSETEG00000023831.1)". It matches the Rfam family "Small nucleolar RNA SNORD111". Rfam says of the family: The members of this family belong to the C/D class of snoRNAs which contain the C (UGAUGA) and D (CUGA) box motifs. Most of the members of the box C/D family function in directing site-specific 2'-O-methylation of substrate RNAs. HBII-82 (SNORD111) is predicted to guide the 2'O-ribose methylation of 28S rRNA G3923. Lineage: Eukaryota; Metazoa; Chordata; Mammalia; Afrosoricida; Tenrecidae. The record is from RNAcentral.
CCGCCUGAAAUGAUGAUUCUUCAAAUUUCAUGUCUCUUCUCUGAUAUGUUUCUCUGAAGAUACAUUUCGCCAUACUGAUCUGAUCAGGCUA